UUAGCAUAUCAUCAGCGGAGGAAAAGAAACCCAUCAGGGAUUGCCUCAGUAACGGCGAGUGAAGCGGCAACAGCUCAAAUUUGAAAUCUGGCUCCUUCGGGGCCCGAGUUGUAAUUUGCAGAGGAUGCGUCGGGUACGGGUGCCUUCCGAGUUUCCCUGGAACGGGACGCCAUAGAGGGUGAGAGCCCCGUCUGGUAGGACACCCAGCCCGUGUGACGCUCCCUCGACGAGUCGAGUAGUUUGGGAAUGCUGCUCUAACGGGAGGUAUACUCCUUCCAAGGCUAAAUACCGGCUGGAGACCGAUAGCGCACAAGUAGAGUGAUCGAAAGAUGAAAAGCACUUUGAAAAGAGAGUCAAACAGCACGUGAAAUUGUUAAAAGGGAAGCGCUCGCUACCAGACUUGGGUUCGGCGGUUCAACCGGGGCCACGCCCCGGGGCAUUCCGCCGGCCCAGGCCAGCAUCAGCUUUCCGUCGGGGGUAAAGGCGUCGGGAAUGUGGCUCCCCUUCGGGGGAGUGUUAUAGCCCGUCGUGUCAUACCCUUCGGGGGGCUGAGGUACGCGCUUCUGCAAGGAUGCUGGCGUAAUGGUAGCUAGUGACCCGUCUUGAAACACGGACCAAGGAGUCAACCUUAUGUGCGAGUGCCCGGGCGUAAAACCCCAGCGCGGAAUGAAAGUGAACGUAGGUGAGAGCUUCGGCGCAUCACCGACCGAUCCUGAUGUCCUCGGACGGAUUUGAGUGAGAGCAUAUAGGGUUGGACCCGAAAGAAGAUGAACUAUGCGUGUGUAGGGUGAAGCCAGAGGAAACUCUGGUGGAGGCUCGCAGCGGUUCUGACGUGCAAAUCGAUCGUCAAACAUGCGCAUGGGGGGCGAAAGACUAAUCGAAUCUUCUGGUAGCUGGUUUCCGCCGA
This 907-nucleotide ribosomal RNA is filed under the name Plectosphaerella cucumerina. RNAcentral describes it as "LSU rRNA". It matches the Rfam family "Eukaryotic large subunit ribosomal RNA", at positions 35 to 964 of the family's 3401-position model. The record is from RNAcentral. Lineage: Eukaryota; Fungi; Ascomycota; Sordariomycetes; Glomerellales; Plectosphaerellaceae.